This 789-nucleotide long non-coding RNA is filed under the name Phoenix dactylifera (date palm). Its description in RNAcentral is "long non-coding RNA (PDAC_LNC005036)". Lineage: Eukaryota; Viridiplantae; Streptophyta; Magnoliopsida; Arecales; Arecaceae. The record is from RNAcentral.
GUUUGGCUUCCACUCUUGGUAGUUCUGGUAACUGCUGCUAACUAUCUUUCCACUAUGCACAUAUAAAAGCACGAUUAGUCUUAAACUUCGAGAUCGAUAAUUAUACACUAUCGGUCUUUAACUAAUCUUGAUGUAGUUUGUAUUGGCCGUGUCUUUUUAUUCAACCUACAAUAUGAGCAUCUAUUCCUGGAAAUCUAGGAUUAGUAUGAUCAUGUCGAUCUUUCAUUGGCUAUCUUUCAUGGCCAAGGCGAUCUUAUCAGCUUCCUUAUUUAUAUUAUGACCGAAAUCUAUCUAUUCAGCCUAGAUUUCCAUCCAUUAUGCUUUUUCAUAACUGAACUCUAUCUAGUCUUCACAAGAGUCACAUAAGUCUCACAUGCACUGAUUUUAUCAUGCUUAAUCCAUGUGGUCUUUGCUCUUAGCUGCUAGCUAUAUUAUUAAGAUAUGGUGUAAGCAAUGCUCACAACAUCUUACUGAUCGGGGAUCGCGAGGCUAAUGGGAUGUCCAUCACUAUCUACUUGAUACCUAUAGAACAAAUAUCAUACAAUUAUGGUUUUGAUCUACUGACUGAGGGUUGCUCUUUUACCAGAGUAUUUACCUUCGAUAAUCCGCUUGUAUCUCUUCUGAUUCCACUAAGCCUUUCUCUCUUGGCAUAUCUCCUCAUAUGGAAUGCUUGUAGGACCAAAACGGCUUGCAUGCUAUUCAAGGAUCCUCCAAAUUUUUAGGGAUUUGGCAUUAUCUUCUGCAUAAAUGGGGCACAAUUGUCCUCUAAAAAUAGACCCUACAUCCCUC